RNAcentral lists this transfer RNA (74 nucleotides) under Steroidobacter denitrificans. RNAcentral's name for it is "tRNA-Gly". It matches the Rfam family "tRNA". From Rfam's summary of the family: Transfer RNA (tRNA) molecules are approximately 80 nucleotides in length. Their secondary structure includes four short double-helical elements and three loops (D, anti-codon, and T loops). Lineage: Bacteria; Pseudomonadati; Pseudomonadota; Gammaproteobacteria; Steroidobacterales; Steroidobacteraceae. RNAcentral also lists the same sequence under 51 other names. The record is from RNAcentral.
GCGGGUGUAGUUCAAUGGUAGAACUGUAGCUUCCCAAGCUACUAACGUGGGUUCGAUUCCCAUCACCCGCUCCA